This 232-nucleotide long non-coding RNA is filed under the name Elaeis guineensis (African oil palm). Its description in RNAcentral is "long non-coding RNA (EGUI_LNC071432)". Lineage: Eukaryota; Viridiplantae; Streptophyta; Magnoliopsida; Arecales; Arecaceae. The record is from RNAcentral.
UAGAGCUCUAGCAUCGACCCCUGAACUGUCGCUCGAGACAGCAUCAGACAAUGAAUAAGUAGGGGGAAAGGGGGCAACCUUGGUGAAGUCCAGCAGCAGAAUGGAAGAACUCCGUCGGAGAGCUAUUGACUAGAAUAGCAAAGCUCAAAAACUCCACGCAAUCCAUGAUCCAGCCAAACCCACUUCUCCCCGAAUCUUAGCUUUGUAAGCAUUUGCCGAAGAAAGUGCCAGC